RNAcentral lists this unclassified non-coding RNA (205 nucleotides) under soil metagenome. RNAcentral's name for it is "partial contains 5.8S ribosomal RNA, internal transcribed spacer 2, and large subunit ribosomal RNA". The record is from RNAcentral.
AACACUGUUAACCUGCGGUACCUGCGGAAGGAUCAUUACCGAGUUUACAACUCCCAAACCCCUGUGAACAUACCACUUGUUGCCUCGGCGGAUCAGCCCGCUCCCGGUAAAACGGGACGGCCCGCCAGAGGACCCCUAAACUCUGUUUCUAUAUGUAACUUCUGAGUAAAACCAUAAAUAAAUCAAAACUUUCAACAAUGGAUCU